RNAcentral lists this long non-coding RNA (2730 nucleotides) under Pelobates cultripes (western spadefoot toad). Lineage: Eukaryota; Metazoa; Chordata; Amphibia; Anura; Pelobatidae. The record is from RNAcentral.
AAACGUAGUCAGAAACAAAGCCAAAGUCAAAACGGAGAAACACAACUGAACACAACAAGCGCUAAAGGGAACUGAUACAGAAACCACGAUAGGGCAGGGAGUAAAGGGAGAGGUAAGUAUAUAUAGCUUCUAAACUAAUGUGAUUGGCUCCUGUCAUAUCCACACCCCCAAAAGGUAAGUGUAUGGGGAUUGUGGCAUGACAGGGGCCAAUGGGAGCCUUUUAACAAUUUAGGCUCCCACUGUCUCUUUAAGAGCUCUUAGAUUCAGGCGGGACACGUGACCGCUUCUCGCGGUCACUGCCCGCCUUCCUGUUGAGGCCGUCGGAUGAGCCGCGCGCGGCUCGUGCAGCAGCAGGACCGCGCGCGGCUCGAAGAGAGGACCGCGGCCGGCCCCUGGAUAAGGUGAGUAACGCUCCAAAGUUAUCAUGGGUGACUUUAAUCUUCCUGUUGUGAACUGGAAAACCAAAAUAGCUGUUUGUGCCAGGAGCACACAUAUUCUGAAAUCCCUACUGGGACUGUCUCUAAAACAAUAAGCAAAAAAUACAAAUUGUUGUGUAGGCACUUCAAAUAUUUAUUACGUGGGUGUAAAAAAGGUGUAAUUCCUUAUCACCUAAAAACCAAAUAGAUGAUAGAAAAAAAAUUGAUUCACACACACAAAGUAGGUGUAAUAUACCAAUAUACCACCUUUAACAGGUAUUAAUAAUGCAGUUCCAUCUGAAAAACAAAUAAAACAUACAUAGUGCUCUCCAUAGCAUGUAAAAUAUAGAGAUUAAAGUAUAUGUGGAAUGCACUCACAAAGAUGGAGCCACGUAGGCUCUAUGAAAACAGUCCUUGGGUGCAUGUCCAGGCUCUCGAUAUAUGUCAGUGAAGUACAAAUGUAUUAUAAUUGAAUAUAAUUAAAAAUAUGUAGAUAAUAAGGGACAAAAGUAUGGCAGGUGUCAGGGAGCCGCGGGCGGCGAGGAGGGGAGGCUGCACGCCACUUGCAGCACUCACCCUCAGUCCAUCGCCGCCCGCGGUCUCCUCUCUGCUUACCUGUCGGCGAGCGGCGUCUCCUCUGUGCCGCUCGCCGCCAGCGUCCUCCAUGCCCCUCAGCGGCAGCAUGUAUAACGCUGCACGCUGGGAGGUCCAGGAGUUAAGUAAACGCCGGGGUCACAUGAGUGACCCGGCGUUAAAGAAACAGUACCACAAUCACAGUGGGGGGUAUAGAUAUCCCCCACGUGUGAUUGUUAAUUCUGAUUGGAAGUUGUCCAAUCAGAAUUAGACCUAGGGUAUUUAUACUUACCUUUCCUGUCCCUCAGUGCCCUGUUGUGGUCUUGUGAUACCUGUAGCAUAGUGUUCUCGUCUUGCUCUCUGGUUACCGUUUACUUGGCUCGUUAUUCCGAUUAGUCUGUCUUCUCCAUUCCUUUGACCUCGGCUUGUUUCUCGUUCUACCGUUUUCUGGCUCCCUUUACCUGGCUUGUCUCCUGACUAUUCUUAGCGUGCUUAGCCCGGCCACUCUAAGGUCCGGUACGUCACCUUUUCUGUGUGUGUGUGUGUGUCAGCGUGUUAGGUUCCCCGAAUCGUGACAGCAGGUAUCUUAGGAAAUAGUAAUACAACGCAAGUUUGGCCAAAGAAAAGAAGCAGUGUAAAUACAAAUAGAUACAAACAUAAUUAAAUACCGCCAACAAAAAGUCCCAGAAUAUGUCCAGUUGGUAGCAAACGCGUUUCAGUCCCAGGUGGGGCCUUCCUCAGUGCUGUGUCGCUGUUCCAUCUUCAGUGAAGUGACAAAACCGUCAACGCACUCGAGCUACAGCCGGAACAGUUUAAACACUUCAAGAGGGGUAUUUAAACCCUGAAGAUGGACCAGUGACAAAUAGCAAAUGUUGAGUUGAUAAGCAUAUAUGGUGUCAAUGUAAAUGUUGCAAGUGGCAAUAGGUUAAGAUGAGGCUGUAUUCAUGACACCAUUUGACACUGGUAGCAGAGGAGUUAUGUGAAUCUCUAUAAGUGCUCCAACAUACUACGCAGACCAUACUAAUGAAGGUUGCAGGGAUAUAUGAUGUCACAUAUAUAAUGUCACACUCUAGCCUCCUCCAUCUGGCAAACAUAUAAGCAGUAUGAGAGUAGGAGCAUCCACACAUCUGAUCUGAGAGUUUUGUGUGCAGAAAAAAACACACCUUUGCACUUGUCCUCUCAGUCCAAAGUUUGCCAGCCCUGCCAUGGGGGCUUUCCAUACUAGCAUAGGGUUUUUGGGGAAUGGAUUAGAUGCUUAUGGAGUUAUGAUUGGGAUCCUUAAGAGACUACAACUAUAAAAUUAUUUCUCCCAACUAAUAAACACCAAUAAAUCCUGCUAAAGCAGCAUUAAGACUACCAGUCAUUUAUUGUAACUUGUACAUUCAUGUUCGAAUAACACAUGAGCUCUACACCUUUUGAAACCCCUCUCUGGAGGUUGUUUUUGCAAGUGAUGAAGGGGUCAGGCUGUCUGGUCCCUUGGUCCAGUGUAUUAGACAUCAUGUGCAAGGAUAUGAAGCCAAACCCCCAGCCUGUAGAGCACAGACUUCCUGCUCCCCACCAGUUAUAGGGGAACGUUAAAAUAGGGGACAAAACAAGCAGGAUCAAACAGCACAUGCUUAUAUCAUAGAACAAAUGAGCAUCUGAGAUAAAUGUGACCUAACUUGUGAAUUAAACAGUUUUCAAUCUAAAACAAUAAUUUCAUUAUUAAAGUGUUUGAAAGCUUUGUAUAUUACAAAUCAAC